Molecule: long non-coding RNA, 782 nt
Filed under: Zea mays
Lineage: Eukaryota; Viridiplantae; Streptophyta; Magnoliopsida; Poales; Poaceae
Description: long non-coding RNA (ZMAY_LNC002678)
Source: RNAcentral
GCCCAUGAAAUCCACUGACGUGCAUAGAAACAAAGGUCGUCAGGGGAAGCAAGUAAAAGUGGUGCUGGUUUUACUUCUCUGCCAAUGCGCAAUGUAAACGCAGCAAUCUGAUUCGUGAGGAAUGCAAGAACUUUCGCAAUGUAAACGCAGCAAUCUGAUAGGUGCCCGAAACCUAUCGAGCCUCUUUGCAGAUAGUUAGUUGUUUCUUGUCUUUCCUCCCUGGCUAGGCCGAUGAAUGCUCUGCAGUUGCUGCGAGCGCGGCUCCUGCUUGGUCCUGCUAGCUAGUAUAGAUUUAUGCUUUUCAUGCGCCUCUCUUUUUAAUAUAACGGGCAGCUCUUCUAUUGGUUCGUUAGUUAAAAAAACGCAGCAAUCUGAUUAUCUUUUUCCACAUACUACUAGAAGGGUUAGCAAUUCUGUGUUAAUUAUUCGAUUCCCAUUUCACUCUACAUUUUGGCUGAAUGUCUUAAUACUCACUAUAUACUAUUAUCGAUGGCAAUGUGGAGCCAUGUUUUCUGUGGCUUCGUAAAUACCUUAAAUGUGAUAACUCCAUCUAUAUUGUUUUGGUUUCGGCAAUUUAAUGGGCAAUCUGGAAAGCCAGAAAUAGAGUGUGCUUUGACAAUGUAUGCUUGUGAAAUCGCCUAACGAGAUUAUUUCACAUGCGGGGCUUUUAAUUUUCUCUUGGGCAGGCUUAGGCAAGAAAGAACUCCAAGAUCUCCUUCAAGAGGGCGCCAAGCUGCUUGUUCGGGCUACAAAUACAAGAGGAGGAAAUUAGAUCUCUGGCC